GGCGAGUGGCGAACGGGUGAGUAAUACAUCGGAACGUGUCCUGGAGUGGGGGAUAGCCCGGCGAAAGCCGGAUUAAUACCGCAUACGCUCUGUGGAGGAAAGCGGGGGAUCUUUCGGGACCUCGCGCUCAAGGGGCGGCCGAUGGCAGAUUAGGUAGUUGGUGGGGUAAAGGCCUACCAAGCCGACGAUCUGUAGCUGGUCUGAGAGGACGACCAGCCACACUGGGACUGAGACACGGCCCAGACUCCUACGGGAGGCAGCAGUGGGGAAUUUUGGACAAUGGGCGCAAGCCUGAUCCAGCAAUGCCGCGUGUGUGAAGAAGGCCUUCGGGUUGUAAAGCACUUUUGUCCGGAAAGAAAACCUCUGGGUUAAUACCCCGGGGGGAUGACGGUACCGGAAGAAUAAGCACCGGCUAACUACGUGCCAGCAGCCGCGGUAAUACGUAGGGUGCGAGCGUUAAUCGGAAUUACUGGGCGUAAAGCGUGCGCAGGCGGUGAUGUAAGACCGAUGUGAAAUCCCCGGGCUUAACCUGGGAACUGCAUUGGUGACUGCAUCGCUCGAGUAUGGCAGAGGGGGGUAGAAUCCACGUGUAGCAGUGAAAUGCGUAGAGAUGUGGAGGAAUACCGAUGGCGAAGGCAGCC
This 641-nucleotide ribosomal RNA is filed under the name Burkholderia sp. Md216. Its description in RNAcentral is "bacterial SSU rRNA". It matches the Rfam family "Bacterial small subunit ribosomal RNA", at positions 90 to 726 of the family's 1533-position model. The record is from RNAcentral. Lineage: Bacteria; Pseudomonadati; Pseudomonadota; Betaproteobacteria; Burkholderiales; Burkholderiaceae.